RNAcentral lists this ribosomal RNA (497 nucleotides) under uncultured bacterium. Its description in RNAcentral is "partial 16S ribosomal RNA". It matches the Rfam family "Bacterial small subunit ribosomal RNA", at positions 28 to 507 of the family's 1533-position model. The record is from RNAcentral.
GACGAACGCUGGCGGCGUGCCUAAUACAUGCAAGUUGAGCGCUGAAGGUUGGUACUUGUACCAACUGGAUGAGCAGCGAACGGGUGAGUAACGCGUGGGGAAUCUGCCUUUGAGCGGGGGACAACAUUUGGAAACGAAUGCUAAUACCGCAUAAAAACUUUAAACACAAGUUUUAAGUUUGAAAGAUGCAAUUGCAUCACUCAAAGAUGAUCCCGCGUUGUAUUAGCUAGUUGGUGAGGUAAAGGCUCACCAAGGCGAUGAUACAUAGCCGACCUGAGAGGGUGGUCGGCCACAUUGGGCCUGGGACACGGCCCCAACUCCUACGGGAGGCAGCAGUAGGGAAUCUUCGGCAAUGGACGAAAGUCUGACCGAGCAACGCCGCGUGAGUGAAGAAGGUUUUCGGAUCGUAAAACUCUGUUGGUAGAGAAGAACGUUGGUGAGAGUGGAAAGCUCAUCAAGUGACGGUAACUACCCAGAAAGGGACGGCUAACUACGUG